RNAcentral lists this ribosomal RNA (440 nucleotides) under uncultured bacterium. RNAcentral describes it as "partial 16S ribosomal RNA". It matches the Rfam family "Bacterial small subunit ribosomal RNA", at positions 338 to 795 of the family's 1533-position model. The record is from RNAcentral.
CCUACGGGAGGCAGCAGUAGGGAAUAUUGCUCAAUGGGCGAAACCCUGAAGCAGCAACGCCGCGUGGAGGAUGAAGGCUUUCGGAUUGUAAACUCCUUUUUGUAGAGAGGAUAAUGUCAAGAUCUAACGAAUAAGCACCUGCCAACUCCGUGCCAGCAGCCGCGGUAAUACGGCGGGUGCAAGCGUUACUCGGAAUAACUGGGCGUAAAGAGCGCGGAGGCGGGAGAGCGAGUCAGAUGUGAAAUCCUAUGGCUUAACCAUAGAACUGCAUUUGAGACUGGUAUGCUAGAGUAUUGGAGAGGGAGGUAGAAUUCUUGGUGUAGGGGUAAAAUGCGUGGAGAUGAAGAGGAAUACUCAUUGCGAAGGCGACCCGCUAGACAAAAACUGACGCUGAUGUGCGAAAGCGUGGGGAGCAAACAGGAUUAGAUACCCUUGUAGUC